AGAGUUUGAUCAUGGCUCAGAUUGAACGCUAGCGGCAUGCUUAACACAUGCAAGUCGAGCGGCAGCGCGGGGGCAACCCUGGCGGCGAGCGGCGGACGGGGUGAGUAAUGCGUAGGAAUCUGCCUUGUAAUGGGGGGACAACCCGGGGAAACUCGGGCUAAUACCGCAUAAUCUCUAAGGAGGAAAGUAGGGGACCUUCGGGCCUUACGUUACAAGAUGAGCUUGCGUCGGAUUAGCUAGUUGGUGGGGUAAAGGCCUACCAAGGCGACGAUCCGUAGCUGGUCUGAGAGGACGAUCAGCCACACUGGGACUGAGACACGGCCCAGACUCCUACGGGAGGCAGCAGUGGGGAAUAUUGGACAAUGGGGGAAACCCUGAUCCAGCAAUGCCGCGUGUGUGAAGAAGGCCUUCGGGUUGUAAAGCACUUUCAGUGGGGAAGAAAUAAUUCAAGGUUAAUACCCUUGAGUCUUGACAUUACCUACAGAAGAAGCACCGGCAAACUCUGUGCCAGCAGCCGCGGUAAUACAGAGGGUGCGAGCGUUAAUCGGAAUUACUGGGCGUAAAGCGCACGUAGGUGGAUAUGUAAGUCGGAAGUGAAAGCCCUGGGCUUAACCUAGGAAUUGCCUCCGAUACUGCACAUCUAGAGUAUGGUAGAGGGUAGUGGAAUUUCCGGUGUAGCGGUGAAAUGCGUAGAUAUCGGAAGGAACACCAGUGGCGAAAGCGGCUACCUGGACCAAUACUGACACUUAGGUGCGAAAGCGUGGGGAGCAAACAGGAUUAGAUACCCUAGUAGUCC
Molecule: ribosomal RNA, 796 nt
Filed under: uncultured bacterium
Lineage: Bacteria
Description: bacterial SSU rRNA
Rfam family: Bacterial small subunit ribosomal RNA
Source: RNAcentral